This is a non-coding RNA of Podarcis lilfordi (Lilford's wall lizard), 72 nucleotides long. NCBI's taxonomy places the organism in Eukaryota, Metazoa, Chordata, Lepidosauria, Squamata, Lacertidae. The record is from the annotation of a GenBank genome assembly.
GAAUCAUAGCUCAGUGGUAGCACAUCUGUUUUGCAUGCAGAAGUUCCCAGGUUCAAUUCUUGGGGAGCAGCU